UUAAAAUUAGUUAAAACAUAACACGAGCUUGUCAAGCUCGAAUUAUUACAAAGUAAUAUUUUAAA
Molecule: transfer RNA, 65 nt
Filed under: Macrobrachium rosenbergii (giant freshwater prawn)
Lineage: Eukaryota; Metazoa; Arthropoda; Malacostraca; Decapoda; Palaemonidae
Description: tRNA-Asp
Source: RNAcentral